Molecule: long non-coding RNA, 1795 nt
Organism: Dromaius novaehollandiae (emu)
Lineage: Eukaryota; Metazoa; Chordata; Aves; Casuariiformes; Dromaiidae
Exons: 3
Source: RefSeq, a predicted model, not a curated record
GAGUUUUCCCACUUGAUGCAUUUUUUUUUAAAUCAGAGGUCAUAUAUGACCCACAGUCCUUGCUUUCUCCCCAGCUUGCAGAGGUUGAGGAGCUUUGGCAUUCACGGGAAAACAAGCAUUUAGGAAGAAUGAAGAAGAAUCAUUGUCUGGCUUUUCGCAGGCUGCCAGAAGACUGCAGGGCAACCUGCACUGCAUACAUGCAUACUGGUCGAUAGUGUAUAGGGAUGAUUUUUCUGCACAGCCCACCAGGCUCCCAGAGGCAUGGCACUGAAUGUGUGAACAUGUGAGAAGCACAUAAAAAUAAUGGUCCCAGUGAUGAAGUGAAAGGAAUAGCUGAAGUGAUUUAAGGAUGUUGCUCCAUAGGAGAGACACUGGGAUCACUGUUUGACCCCAAACCUACAUAGGAUGUGGAAAUGAAGGGGUCUGAUCCGAACCUUGAUAUGAAAUCUGUGCAUGUGAGUAUGGCUAACUGAAGAUGCUAAAACGAGGUGAAAGUAUUCUUAGAGAAAUUCCUUUUCUUUCUCCUUAUUGUACACCAAAAAAUAUGGAAAGGUGGAGAUGAACGGCCACAGGUGAUGAAGAGAAGAAAUGUGGUCCACCCUUCUGAGGAUUUUCCUGGAUUAUUUCUAAUGCUCUGUUGCAGUGAUCCGAAAUUUCUGCACUUGCCAGAAAUGGAGAAUAUGAAUGCUUUCAGAGAAGUGAAGUACAGUUAAUUCCAAAUGCAGUGAAUAAAGUGCUUGAAAACUGAAGCUUGGAUAUGUUUGCCCAUUUUUUUGGCUGGACUGAAGACUAAAGGUUGGUUGGAAUACUUCUGAAUAAAUUGUGAAUGAAUGUUUUUGUUAGCAUAUGCCAUUUCACCUAUGCCAAAACAGAUUGCAAAGCAAUAUUGGCACUGGUAAAAGAGAGAGAGAGAAUAAGAGGUCUAAAAUACGAGAAAGAAACUUUGCUUCUCCUAAUCUAAACAGAUGUGAAAGGAGAGCUUUGCUUGUAAUCAGAGCGAAGGUUUGUAACAAACUCACCUGUGUGUUUCAAAUUUCAGACUGAAAACAGGCUUUGUGAAACUAGUGACAUCUAUGAAAAUGAUUAAAGAUGUCUGCUUUCAAUCUAAACUUGUGCGGAAUCUGAGGACUGGUCUGGAUUAACAUCCUGUUUCAAUGGUAUAUAUAUGUGAAUGGGACCAACCCUCUGCAAUACUUGGUUUUUUGACAUCUUUGAGAGCAUCAAACACAUUGCAGUGCUGGUGCAGCUGAAGCAGAAGGUGGUGAGACAGGGAGAAGCCUGUGACAUUGAGGAUCGUGUCCACUGUGGUGACCUGUUCCCCUGGUGUUAUUGUAGCUGUGCUGCAGCUUCUCCUUGGCACUUGGACUUCUCUGUCACAACCCUGGGUCGUGUAUCUCCUGAUGAGCUGCAUCUGGCAACUGCCCAGAUGCAGGAGAGAUACAGUGGAGCUGUGCAGCAAAUGCCUGCGAUGCAAAGCUGGAACGUCAAGGUGGGAGUGUUUUGUUCAGUCAGUCAUAUCUGAUUGGCCUGUUUCUAGGAUUUGUUCCUAAAUGUUUUAGAGGUCUUUGGAGUCUGCCAUGCCAGUUUGCCCUGGGUGCAGCUUUUUGCUCUGGUGUCACUUGUUCAAGACUUAUAAAUGCAUGUUGUCUCCUGCUGUUUUUCUGGGCGGAACGUUUACAUUGAUGUCACACAAGUCAUAGAAUGGCUUAAAUACUUUCGGUUUUCCUAAUAAACUAUUUCUGACAUAGAGGUUGUUCCUGGGGUUAUUACAAACAGGGCUGGGCUGGGCUUUGCA